AGUUGAGCGAGGGAGAGAGAGAGAGGGUUAGUGAAGAGGUUGAGCGAGGGAGAGAGAGAGAGGUUUAGUGGAGAGGUUGAGCGAGGGAGAAAGGGCUAGUGAAGAGGUUGAGCGAGGGAGAGAGAGAGGGCUAGUGGAGAGGUUGAGCAAGGGAGAGAGAGGGCUAGUGGAGAGGUUGAGCGUGGAAGAGAGAGGGCUAGUGGAGAGGCUGAGCGAGGGAGAGAGAGAGGGCUAGUGGAGAGGUUGAGUGAGGGAGAGAGGGAUAGUGGAGAGGUUGAGCGAGGGAGAGGGAGAGGGCUAGUGGAGAGGUUGAGCGUGGGAGAGAGAGAGGGCUAGUGGAGAUGUUGAGAGAGGGCUAGUGGAGAGGUUGAGCGAGGGUAAGAGGGGUAGUGGAGAGGUUGAGCGAGGGAAAGAGAGAGGGAGGGAGAGAGCUAGUGGAGAGGUUGAGCGCGGGAGAGAGGGCUAGUGGAGAGGUUGAGCGAGGGAGAGAGGGCUAGUGGAGAGGUUGAGUGAGGGAGAGAGGGCUAUUGGAGAGGUUGAGCGAGGGAGAGAGGGCUAGUGGAGAGGUUGAGCGAGGGAGAGAGGGCUAGUGGAGAGGUUGAGCGUGGGAGAGAGAGAGGGCUAGUGGAGCUGUUGAGAGAGGGCUAGUGGAGAGGUUGAGCGAGGGUAAGAGGG
Oncorhynchus tshawytscha (Chinook salmon) is the source of this 675-nucleotide long non-coding RNA. The record is from Ensembl. NCBI's taxonomy places the organism in Eukaryota, Metazoa, Chordata, Actinopteri, Salmoniformes, Salmonidae.